UGCUCUUUGAAGCAGGUCUGUUGACAGGGUCUAGAUACACAUACAAUUUUAUGAAUGAUGGACCAUGAUGACAUGGCACCAGUGGAAUAUAUUAUUUCUCCAUUUUCACUGUCCAUUCAUUUAAAAAUCAGUUUUCUCAAAGCCAUUUAAAAGGGUUAAGCUGAACAUACUGUGGCCAUAGGUAGGGAACUGUUUGCAGAGAAGAUUGAGUGGUCAGUAAAGGAAGGCUACAUGGUGACUUUAUUUCUUUUGCCCAGGAGAUAAAGAUGAGUGCAGUGAAUGUUCUGUUGUCCCCUUUUUUUGGCUAUCUGGACUGUGGAUUUAGGCAUGCAGAAGUAAGCAAGCCUACCUGUCUGGUUGCUCAUUCCUUGCAGGAUGUGUGUGGAGUUGUGGACAGCUCAUCCACUGGCCUAACUGCCUAAGCCAGCACAAAGGAUGGAGGGCAUAUCCAAAGCUCUCAUAAGGAGACUGAAACCAUGGGCUGGAUUUGCUAAGAUCUGUCAAUUUUUUUCUGCCUUAUUGGGAGCAAAUAUGGACUGGAUUGCCAAGAUGGAAUUUUACCAGCCUGCCUUGAAAGCCAGCUGUAGACAGGAGAAAGCUGCCUUAGGACUUCAGUGGCCCAGGAACCAGGCCCUGUGAGCAUCCUUGCUCUGUGUUUUCCACUCCCUAUGGAUUGGUAAUACAGUUCUCAUUGCACACAGCCAAACUCAAGAGCAACAUCCACAGUUCUGGUUGUAUUGUGCCAGAAAAAACGGUUUUGAAGGACCUCAGCUGGAUUCAGCCCUAAUCCAAAAUACAAUGCUGAGGAAAUGAGGAAGGUGGGCUGAUGAGGACAAGGUGAACUCUGAAAAGAAUUGAUUCUACCCUUGCUCUGCUGCAGAACCUCAUCACCUUAAUAUUGCAGAAGUUCAUCUGCGUCCUGCAGUGCUGGUGCUAAGAAAUGAGGAGCAGUUCCUUC
Passer montanus (Eurasian tree sparrow) is the source of this 958-nucleotide long non-coding RNA. RefSeq lists it as uncharacterized. The transcript has 3 exons. The record is from RefSeq and is a predicted model, not a curated record. Lineage: Eukaryota; Metazoa; Chordata; Aves; Passeriformes; Passeridae.